GUGUUCACUUCAGCAGCACAUAUACAAAAUUGGCAAGAUACAGAGAAGAAUAGCAUGACUCCUGUUCAAAGAUGACAUGCGAAUUCGUGUAUAGAUUGCUGUGGUA
Molecule: small nuclear RNA, 106 nt
Organism: Suricata suricatta (meerkat)
Lineage: Eukaryota; Metazoa; Chordata; Mammalia; Carnivora; Herpestidae
Source: Ensembl